RNAcentral lists this ribosomal RNA (571 nucleotides) under Lamproderma columbinum. RNAcentral's name for it is "SSU rRNA". It matches the Rfam family "Eukaryotic small subunit ribosomal RNA", at positions 17 to 514 of the family's 1831-position model. Lineage: Eukaryota; Evosea; Eumycetozoa; Stemonitida; Stemonitidae. The record is from RNAcentral.
CCAGUAGUGUAUGCUUCUCCUAAAGACUAAGCCAUGCAUGCCUUCGAAUAAGAAGAAGCAAUUCUCUCUGAAUCUGCGAACGGCUCCGCAAACCAGUUGUAAACUAGAGCAAGCAUGCUUAGGGAGGCGGCCUUAACUGGCUGACUCCUUAAGUUACAUGGAUAACCCUGGUAAUCCUGAGGCUAAUACAUGAGCGCAAACCUUUACGGGGCCCGGUUGCGGUUGGGAUCCCUGAGGGACGUGUGAGUGUGGCCUGGGUUAAAGACUGGGAAUAGGUGCACGUCCAGACCGUCAUCAAAAAGGGAUCGGAGCCUUCCCCCUCUCCGGGGGGGGUAGGCACUGGCCCCGGCGGCUCUUGCUGUGUGCUUCUGACCUAUCAACUAGAUGGCAGCAUAAAGGACAUGCUUUGGUUACAACGGGUACAGAGGAUUAGGGUUCGAUCCUGGAGAGUGGGCCUGAGAGAUUGCUCAUACUUCUAAGGAAGGCAGCAGGCGCGCAACGUUCCCCUUGGGCAACGCUCGAGGGCGUUAGGGGACAUAUGAAUGCCUGCCCAUUGGGUGGGCAAUUCAAA